GGGGUAAUAGUUAAUAAUAACAUUUAAUUUGCAUUUAAAAAGUAUUGCCUUAAGGCAAUUUACCUUA
RNAcentral lists this transfer RNA (67 nucleotides) under Chilotomina oberthuri. RNAcentral's name for it is "tRNA-Ala". The record is from RNAcentral. Lineage: Eukaryota; Metazoa; Arthropoda; Insecta; Coleoptera; Chrysomelidae.